Molecule: ribosomal RNA, 253 nt
Filed under: uncultured bacterium
Lineage: Bacteria
Description: partial 16S ribosomal RNA
Rfam family: Bacterial small subunit ribosomal RNA
Source: RNAcentral
UACGUAGGGGGCUAGCGUUGUCCGGAAUCAUUGGGCGUAAAGAGCGCGCAGGCGGUCGUACAAGUCGCGUGUGAAAGCCCCUGGCUCAACUGGGGAGGGUCACGCGAUACUGUUCGACUCGAAGGCAGGAGAGGGAAGUGGAAUUCCCGGUGUAGUGGUGAAAUGCGUAGAUAUCGGGAGGAACACCAGUGGCGAAGGCGACUUCCUGGCCUGUUCUUGACGCUGAGGCGCGAAAGCUAGGGUAGCAAACGGG